AUGCGUUGUUGGGUAGGGGAGCGUUCUGUAAGCCUGUGAAGGUGUGCUGUGAGGCAUGCUGGAGGUAUCAGAAGUGCGAAUGCUGACAUAAGUAACGAUAAAGCGGGUGAAAAGCCCGCUCGCCGGAAGACCAAGGGUUCCUGUCCAACGUUAAUCGGGGCAGGGUGAGUCGACCCCUAAGGCGAGGCCGAAAGGCGUAGUCGAUGGGAAACAGGUUAAUAUUCCUGUACUUGGUGUUACUGCGAAGGGGGGACGGAGAAGGCUAUGUUGGCCGGGCGACGGUUGUCCCGGUUUAAGCGUGUAGGCUGGUUUUCCAGGCAAAUCCGGAAAAUCAAGGCUGAGGCGUGAUGACGAGGCACUACGGUGCUGAAGCAACAAAUGCCCUGCUUCCAGGAAAAGCCUCUAAGCAUCAGGUAACAUCAAAUCGUACCCCAAACCGACACAGGUGGUCAGGUAGAGAAUACCAAGGCGCUUGAGAGAACUCGGGUGAAGGAACUAGGCAAAAUGGUGCCGUAACUUCGGGAGAAGGCACGCUGAUAUGUAGGUGAAGUCCCUCGCGGAUGGAGCUGAAAUCAGUCGAAGAUACCAGCUGGCUGCAACUGUUUAUUAAAAACACAGCACUGUGCAAACACGAAAGUGGACGUAUACGGUGUGACGCCUGCCCGGUGCCGGAAGGUUAAUUGAUGGGGUUAGCGCAAGCGAAGCUCUUGAUCGAAGCCCCGGUAAACGGCGGCCGUAACUAUAACGGUCCUAAGGUAGCGAAAUUCCUUGUCGGGUAAGUUCCGACCUGCACGAAUGGCGUAAUGAUGGCCAGGCUGUCUCCACCCGAGACUCAGUGAAAUUGAACUCGCUGUGAAGAUGCAGUGUACCCGCGGCAAGACGGAAAGACCCCGUGAACCUUUACUAUAGCUUGACACUGAACAUUGAGCCUUGAUGUGUAGGAUAGGUGGGAGGCUUUGAAGUGUGGACGCCAGUCUGCAUGGAGCCGACCUUGAAAUACCACCCUUUAAUGUUUGAUGUUCUAACGUUGACCCGUAAUCCGGGUUGCGGACAGUGUCUGGUGGGUAGUUUGACUGGGGCGGUCUCCUCCUAAAGAGUAACGGAGGAGCACGAAGGUUGGCUAAUCCUGGUCGGACAUCAGGAGGUUAGUGCAAUGGCAUAAGCCAGCUUGACUGCGAGCGUGACGGCGCGAGCAGGUGCGAAAGCAGGUCAUAGUGAUCCGGUGGUUCUGAAUGGAAGGGCCAUCGCUCAACGGAUAAAAGGUACUCCGGGGAUAACAGGCUGAUACCGCCCAAGAGUUCAUAUCGACGGCGGUGUUUGGCACCUCGAUGUCGGCUCAUCACAUCCUGGGGCUGAAGUAGGUCCCAAGGGUAUGGCUGUUCGCCAUUUAAAGUGGUACGCGAGCUGGGUUUAGAACGUCGUGAGACAGUUCGGUCCCUAUCUGCCGUGGGCGCUGGAGAACUGAGGGGGGCUGCUCCUAGUACGAGAGGACCGGAGUGGACGCAUCACUGGUGUUCGGGUUGUCAUGCCAAUGGCACUGCCCGGUAGCUAAAUGCGGAAGAGAUAAGUGCUGAAAGCAUCUAAGCACGAAACUUGCCCCGAGAUGAGUUCUCCCUGACUCCUUGAGAGUCCUGAAGGAACGUUGAAGACGACGACGUUGAUAGGCCGGGUGUGUAAGCGCAGCGAUGCGUUGAGCUAACCGGUACUAAUGAACCGUGAGG
RNAcentral lists this ribosomal RNA (1721 nucleotides) under Escherichia coli. RNAcentral's name for it is "partial 23S ribosomal RNA". It matches the Rfam family "Bacterial large subunit ribosomal RNA", at positions 1216 to 2915 of the family's 2925-position model. Lineage: Bacteria; Pseudomonadati; Pseudomonadota; Gammaproteobacteria; Enterobacterales; Enterobacteriaceae. The record is from RNAcentral.